Molecule: small nucleolar RNA, 102 nt
Organism: Octodon degus (degu)
Lineage: Eukaryota; Metazoa; Chordata; Mammalia; Rodentia; Octodontidae
Product: small nucleolar RNA U13
Exons: 1
Source: RefSeq, a predicted model, not a curated record
AUCCUUUAGUUCAUGAGUGUGAUGAUUGGGUGUUCAUGCCUUAUGCAUGAGAUGUGCCACCCUCAAACCUUGUUAUGACGUGGGCACAUUGCCCAUCUGACG